GCAGUAUUGUACAGUUUAUUAAACAGUUUCUACUUCAGCAACAAAUACAAUUGCAGAGACUUAACUGAGUGUAUGAUUCCUUCUGCUUUCAUAGCAGUGUGAAACCCCAGCUCCUGAACCUUGCAGAAGAAAACCCGGAAGACUGGAAACCAAGGGCUUUGCCACUCUUGUCUGAUGAUUUGAGGAGGGAAAUUGACUGACUCUCCAAAUGAGUGACCAUCUCAUAGGAAAGCCAUCCAGGUAAGGAUUAUUCGUGUUCCUUUUUCAUUUCUGUCAGAAAAAUGGCGCAAUCAGUGCAGGUCUUUACAGUCUUGCUUAGAGGGCGCACAGCUGAUUUUCAC
Molecule: long non-coding RNA, 341 nt
Filed under: Chinchilla lanigera (long-tailed chinchilla)
Lineage: Eukaryota; Metazoa; Chordata; Mammalia; Rodentia; Chinchillidae
Description: lncRNA (ENSCLAG00000025168.1)
Source: RNAcentral